This is a long non-coding RNA of Megalobrama amblycephala (Wuchang bream), 400 nucleotides long. RefSeq lists it as uncharacterized. NCBI's taxonomy places the organism in Eukaryota, Metazoa, Chordata, Actinopteri, Cypriniformes, Xenocyprididae. The record is from RefSeq and is a predicted model, not a curated record. The transcript has 4 exons.
GUCUGGCACAAAUGGCACAAUUAGAUCAAACAGGAUGUUUUUGCAUAAAAAUCCAAAAUUUUCCCCAAAGCUGAAGAUGAAACUUAAUGGAAGGAUUUCUUUUUUUGAUGAACAACAGACAGAGGGGAUCAUUGAUAGAAUUUAAAGAGUCACACAGAUUGACAUGACAGAAUUAAGUAAUACAUCCUACAUUUUGGAAGUACUUACUCCUGAGGUAACCCUAUUAAUCCUAAAAAAGACAGAGGGCUUCCACAGGUUCCAGGCAGAAACGGCUUUGCAAACAAAGGGACAUUUGGGAGCAUCCACAGAUUCUGAUCCUGAAUGGUUUUGAUGACAAAGGAAUUCCUCCUGUUACUGUACCACACAUUGUGCUACUGUCUGGACUUUUCUCUGUGCCCCC